AACGCUAGCUACAGGCUUAACACAUGCAAGUCGCGGGGUAACGAGAGGGAAGCUUGCUUUCCUUGUCGACGACCGGCGCACGGGUGAGUAACGCGUAUCCAACCUGCCCAUUACCACGGGAUACCCCGUCGAAAGGCGGCCUAAUACCGUAUGCAGUCGUCAGAUGACAUCAGAGGACGACGAAAGGAUUGGCGGUAAUGGAUGGGGAUGCGUCUGAUUAGGUAGUUGGAGGGGUAACGGCCCACCAAGCCAUCGAUCAGUAGGGGUUCUGAGAGGAAGGUCCCCCACAUUGGAACUGAGACACGGUCCAAACUCCUACGGGAGGCAGCAGUGAGGAAUAUUGGUCAAUGGGCGAGAGCCUGAACCAGCCAAGUAGCGUGAAGGAUGAAGGUCCUAUGGAUUGUAAACUUCUUUUAUAGUAGAAUAAAGUGAACCACGUGUGGUUUUUUGUAUGUAUACUAUGAAUAAGGAUCGGCUAACUCCGUGCCAGCAGCCGCGGUAAUACGGAGGAUCCGAGCGUUAUCCGGAUUUAUUGGGUUUAAAGGGUGCGUAGGCGGAAUAAUAAGUCAGUUGUGAAAGUUUGCGGCUCAACCGUAAAAUUGCAGUUGAUACUGUUAUUCUUGAGUGUACAUAAGGUAGGCGGAAUUCGUGGUGUAGCGGUGAAAUGCUUAGAUAUCACGAAGAACUCCAAUUGCGAAGGCAGCUUACCGGGGUACAACUGACGCUGAGGCACGAAAGUGUGGGUAUCAAACAGGAUUAGAUACCCUGGUAGUCCACACAGUAAACGAUGAAUACUCGCUGUUUGCGAUAUACAGUAAGCGGCCAAGCGAAAGCAUUAAGUAUUCCACCUGGGGAGUACGCCGGCAACGGUGAAACUCAAAGGAAUUGACGGGGGCCCGCACAAGCGGAGGAACAUGUGGUUUAAUUCGAUGAUACGCGAGGAACCUUACCCGGGCUUGAAUUGCAGACGAACGUUCCAGAGAUGGUCCGGCCCUUCGGGGCGUCUGUGAAGGUGCUGCAUGGUUGUCGUCAGCUCGUGCCGUGAGGUGUCGGCUUAAGUGC
RNAcentral lists this ribosomal RNA (1062 nucleotides) under uncultured Bacteroidales bacterium. RNAcentral describes it as "bacterial SSU rRNA". It matches the Rfam family "Bacterial small subunit ribosomal RNA", at positions 32 to 1087 of the family's 1533-position model. Lineage: Bacteria; Pseudomonadati; Bacteroidota; Bacteroidia; Bacteroidales. The record is from RNAcentral.